Molecule: ribosomal RNA, 536 nt
Filed under: Trigonopterus sp. 794 AR-2022a
Lineage: Eukaryota; Metazoa; Arthropoda; Insecta; Coleoptera; Curculionidae
Description: partial large subunit ribosomal RNA
Rfam family: Bacterial large subunit ribosomal RNA
Source: RNAcentral
GGCCUGUUGAUUAUAAUUUUAGGUUUGGCCUGCCCAAUGAGGAGUUUAAUGGCUGCAGUAUUUUGACUGUACAAAGGUAGCAUAAUCAUUUGUUUUUUAAUUGAAAGCUAGAAUGAAGGGUUAGAUGAAAGAAUUUCUGUCUCUAGGAAAAUUAAUUAAAAUUUUAUUUUUAAGUGAAAAAGCUUAAAUAAAAAUAGAAGACGAGAAGACCCUAUAGAGUUUUAUAUUUAUUAGACUAGUUUAAUUUUAGGUAUUGAAGGUUUUUUAUUCUAGUAAGUAUUUUGUUGGGGUGACAAAAAAAUUUAAAGAACUUUUUUUUAUUUGUUCACUAAUUUGUGUAUAGGUGAUCCUAAUUGUUUAGAUUUAAAGAUAAAAUUACCUUAGGGAUAACAGCGUAAUUUUAUCUAGAGUUCUUAUCGAAGAUAAAGAUUGCGACCUCGAUGUUGGAUUAAAAUAAAUUUCUGGUGAAGGUGCUAGUUAAUUGGGUCUGUUCGACCUUUAAAAUUUUACAUGAUCUGAGUUUAAACCGGUGUGAG